AUUGAACGCUGGCGGCAUGCUUUACACAUGCAAGUCGAACGGCAGCGCGGGCUUCGGCCUGGCGGCGAGUGGCGAACGGGUGAGUAAUGCAUCGGAAAGUGCCCAGUAGUGGGGGAUAGCCCGGCGAAAGCCGGAUUAAUACCGCAUACGACCUGAGGGUGAAAGCGGGGGACCGAAAGGCCUCGCGCUAUUGGAGCGGCCGAUGUCGGAUUAGCUAGUUGGUGGGGUAAAGGCUUACCAAGGCGACGAUCCGUAGCUGGUCUGAGAGGACGACCAGCCACACUGGGACUGAGACACGGCCCAGACUCCUAUGGGAGGCAGCAGUGGGGAAUUUUGGACAAUGGGGGCAACCCUGAUCCAACCAUGCCGCGUGCGGGAAGAAGGCCUUCGGGUUGUAAACCGCUUUUGUUCGGGAAGAAAUCCUCUGGGCUAAUACCCCGGGGGGAUGACGGUACCGGAAGAAUAAGCACCGGCUAACUACGUG
This 484-nucleotide ribosomal RNA is filed under the name uncultured bacterium. Its description in RNAcentral is "partial 16S ribosomal RNA". It matches the Rfam family "Bacterial small subunit ribosomal RNA", at positions 29 to 507 of the family's 1533-position model. The record is from RNAcentral.